Molecule: ribosomal RNA, 444 nt
Filed under: uncultured bacterium
Lineage: Bacteria
Description: partial 16S ribosomal RNA
Rfam family: Bacterial small subunit ribosomal RNA
Source: RNAcentral
CCUACGGGAGGCUGCAGUGGGGAAUAUUGGGCAAUGGGCGCAAGCCUGACCCAGCAACGCCGCGUGAAGGAAGAAGGCUUUCGGGUUGUAAACUUCUUUUCUCAGGGACGAAGAAAGUGACGGUACCUGAGGAAUAAGCCACGGCUAACUACGUGCCAGCAGCCGCGGUAAUACGUAGGUUGCAAGCGUUAUCAGGAUUUAUGGGGUUUAAAGGUUGCGUAGGCUGUGCGGUAAGUCAGCGGUGAAAUGCCCCCGCUCAACGGGGUGAAGUGCCAUUGCUACUGCCUUGCUGGAAUGUGGAUGCCGUGGGAGGAAUGUGUGGUGGAGCGGUGAAAUGCAUAGAUAUCACACAGAACACCGAUUGCGAAGGCAUCUCACGAAUCCGCGAUGGACGCUGAUGCACGAAAGCGUGGGUAUCAAACAGGAUUAGAUACCCCGGUAGUC